Molecule: ribosomal RNA, 508 nt
Filed under: Salmonella enterica
Lineage: Bacteria; Pseudomonadati; Pseudomonadota; Gammaproteobacteria; Enterobacterales; Enterobacteriaceae
Also listed under: 2 other names
Description: partial 23S ribosomal RNA
Rfam family: Bacterial large subunit ribosomal RNA
Source: RNAcentral
AGACCCGAAACCCGGUGAUCUAGCCAUGGGCAGGUUGAAGGUUGGGUAACACUAACUGGAGGACCGAACCGACUAAUGUUGAAAAAUUAGCGGAUGACCUGUGGCUGGGGGUGAAAGGCCAAUCAAACCGGGAGAUAGCUGGUUCUCCCCGAAAGCUAUUUAGGUAGCGCCUCGUGAAUUCAUCUCCGGGGGUAGAGCACUGUUUCGGCUAGGGGGCCAUCCCGGCUUACCAACCCGAUGCAAACUGCGAAUACCGGAGAAUGUUAUCACGGGAGACACACGGCGGGUGCUAACGUCCGUCGUGAAGAGGGAAACAACCCAGACCGCCAGCUAAGGUCCCAAAGUCAUGGUUAAGUGGGAAACGAUGUGGGAAGGCCCAGACAGCCAGGAUGUUGGCUUAGAAGCAGCCAUCAUUUAAAGAAAGCGUAAUAGCUCACUGGUCGAGUCGGCCUGCGCGGAAGAUGUAACGGGGCUAAACCAUGCACCGAAGCUGCGGCAGCGACGCUGA